Non-coding RNA from Heterocephalus glaber (naked mole-rat), 668 nucleotides. Lineage: Eukaryota; Metazoa; Chordata; Mammalia; Rodentia; Bathyergidae. The record is from RefSeq and is a predicted model, not a curated record.
CUCAUUUUCUUUGUGUAUUAUCCUCCUAGUUUUCCUAUAUUUAGAAUCUCAUAGUGAAGUGUUAACUAUAUACUGAUUUUCAAAUCCAAAAAUAAGAAGUGUUAAGUCUCAAAACAAUAAACUGUAAUUUAAUAUGUUGAAUACUAUGGUGGGUGGUUCUCGAUCCAAGGGUUAAUAUUAGAAUCACUCAGGGGGGCUUUUCGGGUUUCCACCUAAACUCAUUCUCUUGGUGGUUUUUUUUUAGAAAUGCAGAAAGAAGAAGAGAAAUGGAAUAUGGCUUUCAAGCGGCUCACCUGGCAGUGACUUGCUAUCCUAUCUUCUUUCCUUCAUUUCCCUAACUCCAGGAGGAGAUUAACUCCACCAGGAUUGCAAGAUCAUAAUCUUCAAGACUUUAUUAUCUCUCACUUAAAUACAUGUUUUACCUCCCCAACCAAGUUUCCUGAGUUCAGCACCCUGUUCUUUGGAGACCCAGGCCUCCCUACCUCUGAAGAACUUCUCUGUCCUCCUCCCACACUUCUUCGUUCCACCCCAGCUAUCAUCACUGGGUCUGGAUUGGAACUUCGUUUCUUCUUAGAGAGCAAAGAAAGCAGCUGAGCACUGCAAAAAAAAGUACUGGACCUGGAGCUGGCCAGCUUUGGCUUUGUUUCCUGGCUUCGUCACUUACUAGU